GGGUCGGUGUCCGAGUGGUUAAAGGAGGCGGAUUGUAAAUCCGUUGCGUCAUGCUACGUUGGUUCGAAUCCAACCCGGCCCA
This 82-nucleotide transfer RNA is filed under the name Durinskia baltica. Its description in RNAcentral is "tRNA-Tyr". It matches the Rfam family "tRNA". Rfam says of the family: Transfer RNA (tRNA) molecules are approximately 80 nucleotides in length. Their secondary structure includes four short double-helical elements and three loops (D, anti-codon, and T loops). Lineage: Eukaryota; Dinophyceae; Peridiniales; Kryptoperidiniaceae. The record is from RNAcentral.